GGAGAGAUGCCAGAGCGGUCGAUUGGGGCGGUCUCGAAAACCGUUGUACUUGCAAAAGUACCCAGGGUUCGAAUCCCUGUCUCUCCG
RNAcentral lists this transfer RNA (87 nucleotides) under Bacteroidales bacterium. RNAcentral's name for it is "tRNA-Ser". It matches the Rfam family "tRNA". Rfam says of the family: Transfer RNA (tRNA) molecules are approximately 80 nucleotides in length. Lineage: Bacteria; Pseudomonadati; Bacteroidota; Bacteroidia; Bacteroidales. The record is from RNAcentral.